This 28858-nucleotide long non-coding RNA is filed under the name Xyrichtys novacula (pearly razorfish). The record is from RNAcentral. Lineage: Eukaryota; Metazoa; Chordata; Actinopteri; Labriformes; Labridae.
UGGAAACCUGAGCCGGCAUGACGGGAGAAAGGACAGUAUGGCGCCGUUUGGAGGGUAAUUAACGAUAAUUAACGAUGCUGGCAGUGAGGGAAAUAUUUGGCGCGAAUGUCGGUGAGUUCGUGAAGCUUCGUGUGCUGCCAUCCACCUUCCACUCCAGUCCUGGAAACCUCCACCUGUCCUGGUCCUUUAACCUCCUCUAAACGGUCUGGUUCUUGUCUCCUCGUGGAAAUGUCGUGACUGCCUUCACAUCAGUCAGGUAAGAGUCUGUUUUGUGUGUUUUUCUCUGUUUGAAGGCCCUGUUUGAAAGUUUGUUUGCUAGCUGCUAGCAUGCUCCCUCCUCUUGCUAACACCUGUUAGCCUCUUUCCUGUUGCUGCACACCUCUGCUUGUUUGUGUUGUUUUUUUCUGGUUUUGUGCAGCUCUUUACCUCCAUGUUGUCUGCUUCUUUGUGUUGUUUAUUUGGAGUUGUGCAGCUCUUUACCUCCAUGUUGUCUGCUUGUUUGUGUUAUUUUUCUAAAGUUGUGUAGUUCUUUACCUCCAUGUUGUCUGCUUGUUUGUGUUAUUUUUCUAAAGUUGUGUAGCUCUUUACCUCCAUGUUGUCUGCUUGUUUGUGUUAUUUUUCUAAAGUUGUGUAGUUCUUUACCUCCAUGUUGUCUACUUGUUUUGUUGUUUUUCUGGAGUUGUGUAGCUCUUUACCUCCAUGUUGUCUGCUUGUUUGUGUUGUUUUUUUCCGGUUUUGUGCAGCUCUUUUCCUCCAUGUUGUCUGCUGGUUUGUGUUGUUUUUUUCUGGUUUUGUGCAGCUCUUUUCCUCCAUGUUGUCUGCUUGUUUGUGUUGUUUUUCUGGUUUUGUGCAGCUCUUUUCCUCCAUGUUGUCUGCUUGUUUGUGUUGUGCUGAAUGUGUGUGGGCAGGCUGCAGUUUGAUGUUGUUGUCUGGGUCGGGUUUGCAGCAUUUCUCCCUGCUGUUUUUCUGCUGCUUUUGUCAUGUUGGUGUGUUUUUUUAUUUCACAGCUGACUGUAAACAUCUGUGCUGUUGUGGGUUGCUCAUCCACAUGUGAACAUCUUUGUUGUCUGUUGCCGUUGCUCACACACCGGUAUGUUUUUUAUUCCUUAGAUUUCUGCUUGAUGAAAAAGUCAAGCUGGCUCUCACACAGAGGGAGGCGUUGAGUCACAUAUUUACCUGCUACAUUUCAUGUCAAAACACCGAGUUUAUUUGGCAGCUCGACUUUCUUUAUUCCUGAUAUCAUUAACAAAGUGCUCUGAAGUUAACAGCUGCUUAAAUCCAUGCAAACCUGCAGAUACAGUCCAAACAAAACAACUUUAUUCAUAUCAUGAGGAGCAGUUUAUUUAACCCUCACAACUCCAAGAUAGAUUUUGCUAUUUUUGGUCCGCCUGGGUUUCAUGUAAAAAUCUACAUCUGUCUAUAAAAUAUAAACACAUCUUUCUUUUCAGGACAACCUCAUCUGUCAGUUCAUGGAGCUAAAAUGAUGUAAAAUGAAUGUGACAGUAGAUUCAGUCAACCAAAAAACAAAAACUGAAAUUGAGACCAACAGUACUUUGCUCAAAAAACACAUAAAUCUACAGUGACCAAGCCUUUUCUCACCUGCACAUCAUUCUCUCAAGUCUUGGCUAUCAGGAGAAGAAAUAUUGGGAUUGGAACAAACACACAACAGAAACUAUUUACGUAUUUACACUCAUUCUUCCAGGCGUUUUUUACUAUUUACAGUUGUUUAUUAGGGCCCGACCGAUUUAUCGGCGAGCCAUUUAAAUAGUCAAAUUUUAGCCUGUUUGAGACUUAUCGGUAAUCGGUCAAAACUACUGCUCAGAAUCUCUUCUUUGCUUGUUUCCAAGCAUUGAGGACCAUUAUUUCUUAUUUUGCAGACAAGCAGGGAACUUUCUUGUCUCUUGUUGAUCUUUGGUUUUCUCUUACUGGACACUACCGUCAAGGGAACGAUGGAAGAAGAAUAGGAGACCAUAUAAUUGGUCGAAAGUUUGACAGAAAAAGACGUCAUCAAAACAGCUUGAAGACAUUAGAGGAAUUUAGCGAUAGCGGUCUUUUUUUAAUCACAACAAUCUGAUAAAGAAUCAUGUUUUCAGCGGUUUAUCACUGCAGAUUUACCAUCAAUCGUCUCUGAUCAAACACCUUUAUUUGUGGCUGGUUUGUAAACCUUGUGGCAGGUGUAGAAAUGUCUGUAAACCCUCGAUAGAUCGCCAAAAGGGUAAACUUUUGAACACUUUUUAUCCCACAGAGAUACACGGUAUAGUUCCUGAGAAACUGUAAACUAUAUUUAUGGUGACACGUGGGAUCACCGGCGAUCCAGCAGAGAUCUAAGAAGCUGAAACACUGACAUGCAAACAGUAUGUGAGCUUAAUUCGAUAAGAGAGGUUAAAGGGGAAACGGUCAACUACCUCAUAAAUAUUCCUGACAGUCUAAUGCAAAAGUGAAAUCUUGUGGCGCGUUAAGCAGGUGAGUCAAAGAGGUGAUUUACAGGCAGGUAAAAGUUAAUGACAGAUUAGGAAAAAUUAUCCUCAGAAGGAGACGUUUUAUUUUUAUGGAAGAUUUACCCGUUGUAAAAGGAUUUCACAUCUUUUCGAUGGCAGCUAAGGUUGUCUCUGCACAGAUUUUAACAACACUGCUCGGAGUGUUUCUAAGCUUUUACUGCGAUGUCGUGAAACCCAGAGAUGAAAUAAAAACUCUGGAGGAUCUCAAUAAAAGACGGGGACAAACAGCAGAGGACGAUGGCGCAGCCUGCAGAGACGGAGUACAGUUAAGGAGGCUGUGAAUGUUCAGGCUCAUGUUCGCUUCAGUUCGAUAUGUGUAAAUGCUGCUCGGGUGAUUGUAUGCCGUUACCGUGCUUUUGUGAGUGUGAUGCUUUAUUUUAUUGCAGAGAUUGCAAACAAAUCGAGCACCAGUUUCUGAGUAAGUUCUCUGCCUUUCAGGAAGAGACUCAGACUCCUGCUCUUAAAUCUGCUCAGAGUCGCUGACUUUGUGUGUAACUGUAAGCUUUAAUCUGCAGCUGUACAUUUAUACGUCUUUUCUGUUAGGGUCAGCACUGAUUCACUCCGAAGUGUGGUCUAAUAUUAAUAUUUAUCAUGCAGCUCUGUUUAAUCUGGCUGCAGGUGAAGCUUCUGAUCACCACUCCUCAGUCUGAGCCGCGCUGAGCUUUGUGGGUGUUUGCUGACAGUGAAAAUGUCAGAACUUAGAUGUCAAAUAUCCACCCUACAAUUCUCUGUCUUCAAAUAAUAACUCUGAUCUGUGUGAGCCGGCUGACUGGAAUGCUAGACGGCUCUUAGGAUCAGAAACUGUCACUAUUUCGACAGUUUAUUGCUCCCUCUAUGGCCUCACCUUGGCCUCAAGUGGGCCGCAGUUUUAUUUUCUAAAACCUCCACGAUGAAAAAAUUAUCAAAAUUAUUACCAACCACAGAUUUUCAGCUCUUCUUUAUUAAUUUUACUGUUUUUUUUUUUCCAUUUUAAAACAUUUUUUCGUCUUUUAACACGUGAGCACCAGAAAUCAGAUUUUCUCACGUUAUCAUUCGGAGGCUCAACAAGCAGAGAGUGGACUGUGAUAAAGAUACAACAUAAGAGUAAAAUAUACUCUGUUAUGACUUCUUUUGUAUGUGCUCACCUAUAUUAAAUUACUAUAAUACAACUCUCAUGUGAAAACUCAGAUAACUGCGUCUUGUUUAGGUCUCCUCCUGUUAUUCACAGCAUGUGGAGUCAUUGCUCAUGUAUUAUAUUAUAGUGUGCACAAAAAUUCAGAGCAGAUCAUGUCAGAAAAGGAGCAUAAAAACAGAGAGAGAGAGGUCAGAGUCAUGUCCGCUUGUCUCUUUAUUGUCAUAAAACACUUUGGCCCUGGUUAAUUUUAAAAACGGAGACAUCAACCAUCUUUUGCACCCUCCGUUUGGACGCAAACACAGAAUUCGCUCCUGAAAACGAUGCUUUUUAAAAAGAUUUUGGAAAACUCCAUUUGCAUGUUUGGGUAGCUGAUGGCAGAUUGUGCGCAAGAAAGAAAGAAAGAAGUGACGUUGUUGUUGUCGCUAUACGGGAUUCUGAUUGGCUAAUGUGGGCUUGAGCUUCUUGCUAUACUGCCACCUACAGGUUUGGCAUGCUCUUGACAGCAUAUAAACACGGGUUGGUGUAAACAAAAACUUUUCUGAAAACACAGUUUUUUUUUUGUAAACGUAGUCUUAGACUCAUUAAGCACAUCAUCAAAAAGCUCAAUGCUGAUAAAAACAGACACUUUUAGCAUCUGUCCUAGUUUUUGCUCAGAUUUUUGUUCACUUAGAUAAUAAAAAAAAACAUAAAAACAGUUAAGAUUAAAUAAAUAAUAGAUUACAGUAGGUUAAAGAUAUGAUUUUUGUCCAUGAGAGGGGUGUGUUUGAGUCCUCAUAUCAGCUGCGGUGGCAUUUUAACACUUACAUCAUGAUUCAGAGGAGAUUUAAAUAUGAUGUUUAGCAUUAUUGCUGAUUUUAAAUAGAGGAGAUUGAAAUGGAAAUCCUUGAAAGGAAAUCUAAAGUGUUCAGCUGUUGUUAAACUGAACAGCAGGCUCUCCUUUGACUCUGAGGUCAGCGCUCUGGAUUAUUCGCCGUCCUCGGUCCAGUGAAUUUUUAGAGAGCGUGUUUUAAAUGAAGUGCACACUCUCACAGUCACGUUCCUCCAAAAAAAAACCCAGCUCCUAGAUUACUGCGCACAUACUAAUGACUGAAAUUUGUCUGGUUCUUCAGCUGCUUCCAUGAACCCCUUGUUAAAUCUCCUCCGCUGCCUGAGAGAUGAGUGUUUACUCGGUAUUCUUGCUGCACAGCCCCAUUUGAACAACAAGGUCAAUGCUCAUUUGCAUUUCGCCGCACACAGUGUAGUCCAUUAAUAUUGUUAUUAAGUUGCCUACAUCAGAUCUCGAGGUGGAGGUGUUCUCCGUGUCCUAUUUUACUCAAUACCUCUGAUAUAUUUCUAAUUUCAGGAGAAGAGCUUAUCUUCGGUCGCUUUUUUCCGCUAACAUAAUCACUUUUGUUUAAUUACUUACAUUUUAAUGGAGCUUCAACCUUUUUAAAAAAUCAUCAUACUGUAAGUACAAAAGAAAGAGAUCCAUCUUUGAAUGUUUUAGUCCUCUCUGGAGCUUCUUCACCUGUGUUAUACUUUAGCAACAAGGCCACAGACACAUCCGGAAUAAAUAUUUUACUCCUAUAAAUAAUUCUAUUUGUUUCUUCAGCCUGUGAGGAGCUGCUGCUGCUGCUGCUGCUCGCUACUUUACAGGCUCCGUCUGUAGGCCUUUGUCACACGCCCUGAAUAGUAUGUGUGCGCUCCCUCCGACUGCACUUCCAGUUUAGAGUGCAAAGUCAACACGGAGAAAACAGCCGGCUUAUGGUGCAGGAAAUGUUGGAAUUUUAUAUUACCCUGAGGGUUUUCCUCCUUGUUUAUUUGGCUUCAGUUUCUAUAAUGUGCCCAUUAAAGUAGUUCAUCACACUGAAUACUAAUUUAAAUGCAGAGGAAGUUGGCCCCCGUAAUGGUAAAUCAACACGAAAAUCAUAUUUUCUUUGCCGUUACUGAAUUAAUUAGAAAGGUAAUGUAUUAGUGGAGGAAGCAGGACGGGGUUUACCAUCAGGACCGUGUUUGACAUUCUGUUCGCCGCUUCGCCUUUUUGUUUCCAGCCUCAUUGUGUUCGAGCUUUUCAUGUGGGCGCUGUGGGCAGUGUUUUGGGCGUGCCUCAGGGACCCGCUCCGGUCCCCAUUUCCCUCUGUGGUUGACGGUACUAAUGAGGCAGUUUGUUCUGACUCCGGCGAAUAAUAGCAUUAAUCUUUACGGAGUUAAAUGCUGUACUUCCUUUUCUCAGAGGAGUCGUUGGAGGAACGAACCAGACUCCUGGAUUCAGAUGGAAAACUGUAAAGUGAGGUCAUCUGUUGAUACGAGUCGACAGAAGGAAACGGGUUAUGACAUUUAUCUGGCUGCAGGCGGGUUUCUCCGAGAUCUCGAGGCCCUGAUGGCAAAGGCACCAUGACACCUCAUUUAUAAUCUAUAUUUAUAAUCUACUGCGACAACCAUCAUCGGCUCUUAAAUAGCUUAAAACCUCAUGUAUCAUUACGUCAAAUCAGCUCUCAGUGCGGUUAGUUUUCUCUCAUAUCGGCUGGAAAAUCAUCCGUCAAAAAUCCGUCAUAUUUUGAAAAUCAAUCCUGAGGUUUUUCAGCCGUCACAGGUCGUAUUUCUGAGACGUCUGACGGCGUGAACAUCAUCAGGCGCUUCUUCUCUGAUCAGAAAUCUUCAGGAGGGAUAUCCAGAAGUAGGACGAACAUUUCAGAAAACAAAAACGUCUUUUUGUGAAAAGAUUAUUCGCAGAAUUCAGCUUCUACAUUCUUAAUGCUACACCGUCUGUGUGUUUAGAGGCUUGUCAAUUCUAUUAUUUAGCGCCAGACUUCAGCAAAGCCCCUCCUGGAUGUGAGUUUUGAUGUACGGGACGCUGUUGUUGUAAACACCAUACAAAGUCAUCGGUACAAACAUGCUGCCGUCGCUCCUGUUCUGUCCUCAGAGAUGCAUUAUGGGUAGAAAAGUAAUAAAACAGCACAGCCCUCCUGAUUUCAACUUCAACUCAAGUUUGUGAAGCAGCUUUGUGACGCUUUCUGAGGCGAAUAAUAAAACCUAUCGCAGAGCGGUAUCCUGAUGAUAUCUCCUCGAAUCAGAAACUCUCUGAAGACGGAAGAAAGCGCCUGACUGACGUCCCUCUCGGCAUCACUUAAAAGAGGGAUCACUCAUUUACAGAUCGCUCCGUUUACAGCAGCAACCUCCGAACAGCCGGUUAAGCUUUAAAGCUGCAACGUUCGACAGUCAGACGUCAGAUGUUUUUGACCUUUUUUCUUUGUUUUGUGCUAAAUUCAAGUUCAGAGAGGAGUCAGCAUCUCGGCAAAUAACAGUCGGGGUGGGAGAAAGCGGAACAACCUGCCAGCGUUAAGCCGCUCCACAAAUAACUCCCAUUGUCUCACUAAUUACAAUGGCUGUGCCACAACCUUCAGAACAAAACAUAUAUAUUUAACCGAGCUGAUGCCUUCGUUUUGGCAGACGGGGGAUAAGCUGAGCUGAAAUAGAUGUCCUGCUUAGAAAUACCUCGUGUCAACAGCGGUGGAUCAGUCUAAUACAGUCGAGUGGGUGUUUGAGGUUCAAAUUCACUAAUCCCAAAAACUCAAGAAGCUAAAUUUGUAGAGUAUGAAAAUAUCGCAGCUUUAAAGUGUUUAUUCUGUGAAAUACUAACAGGCUACUCCCCGGUCUUGACAAAUGAAGCAAAGUGCUAAAAACUGCAGUUCCCUGAGUGUCCACCUGAGGGAGAAAUCAUAAAAAGUUGUGUUUUAAAGUUUAUUUAGAGCUCGGAUGGCAGCCAAAAAAGCUGUUAGUGACUUUUUUAAAGAAAAGCUGAAAAAAAAAAAGAUUAUUUAAAGAAACAAACUUUAAGACAAUCUGGAAGUGGUUUGCAGCAUUAAACCACGUUUGAGUUUUGUUUGUAUAACUCAUUUUCAUGUCACUAAAGAACUGUAAGCAGGUUAAAUCACUUCUUCUGUACUUUAAACAGCGUAAAAGAAAAGUUCAGUGAGUUCCUGAUGAAAGAAAAAAGAGCCUUUGGAUAGAGUACAAGAACAGAGACCCGACCACGACUUCUGCUCCCUGAUUUUUGUGCACCGCUACACUCAAAAGCUUCCCUUCAGGUGACAUUUGUUAUUUUACAAUCUGUGUGAAUUACAGGGUUAUUUCUCUUUCUCAGUAUUUCUAAGAUAAUUCAGAUUUCACCCUGACAACCCGGACUUCUUGUCUCUGUUUGGGUGAAACUUUUAUUCCCUACGAUGCUAAAGCCCAGCGGUCACAGCUGUUAACUUCAAGUUCAUAGAUUAUUGAGCCGUUUUGGGGGUACUUGAACAAUUUGUUGUACUAUAAUUUCCAUAAAAAUGUCCUCUGACGAGUUGAAACACAUGAAAAUAUAAAAACAUCCAAAAGUAUCUGAGCAGCACAGAUUCGUGUGUGUUUGAAAAUCCUCAAACUGAACUCGCAUGAAGUCUCAGGUGUGGUUGCGUAACAACCGCAGCAGAAGUGGAGCUCGGUUCAUUGACAGCUGAGGGUCACAAAUAAUGGUGCGAGCGCUGACAAGCAUCAUGGGAAAUGAGCGAUAAACCUGGAGAGGAAAUUAAAAAUUAAGUACACGCUGUGCCAGAACUCCAGCAUGCUGUUGUUCACGGCUGAUAUUAAAGAUGAUUUUAUUACGACUGAAGGGAUUUUAAAGGUUAUUUUAAUCACAUAUCUCUCUCCUCAUAUCCACCUUUUUGUCAGAGGAGCGUUUUCUUAUCUUAAAUCGACCGUCUGUCUGUUAAAGUGGAAUAGUGAGAUAUUCGGGGAGCUGUCCUUGGUGCUGAAGUUCCACACUGAUAGCUGCCACCGCUGUGAUCGUUCUAACAGUCAAAUAUUGGUUAUUAUAGUUCAGGUUUUUAAGAACAGCUGCCUCCAGAAAACCGUGAAGGAGAGAAAUGGAAAUGUAGGAAAUAAUAAAACACUUUCUGUUUUUCUGUCAAACAUGUGCUGACAUUUACAGAACAAAGAUCUCUGAGUGGAGCGGCUGUAUCCAUGAUGGUCAGUUUAUUGACCAACGUAGCAGCACUCGGGAUGGACAGAAUCGCCUUUUCUUGAGUAAUUUUCUCGUGUUGACCUGAGAGGAGCGGCUCAAACUCUGAGCUGUGUUUUACUAUCGAUGAUUGACAAGGCUCUCCUUCUCUGAAAAGGUCACCCAAUUGCUUUAAAGGAUACUUAGUGUCUCCUCUGCUGCUUUUUCUGCACUCGAGUCGAGAGGUUCUUCUGGAGGAGGCAGGGAUCCACUUUUUGAAGGGUCAGGACUGAUCCCAGACCCCCGGUUUUCUUGAUAAAACAAUCUCUGUCAAGACUUGUAGUUUGACAGAUGUCACAGUUUUGUUUGAGCAGGGUCAGUAAUGAGAGAGUGUAUGCAUUGGUUCAUCAGAGGUUUGGCAUGUUAAAGGCAAGAGUCCUACACAGUUGUAAUUUCCAUACUUUUCCAUACUCUACUUUUCAGAAAAAUUUUUGGAAAUCCCGACUUUCCUAUUUUAAGAAAACUGUAUUUUAGAACUGUGGUAAUAGUCUGGAAACAUGGAUAAUUUUACAUACUUUAUUUCUCAUUUACCAUACUUUUUAAGACCUGGAAGUUGAUCAAACUACUUCCAUACUUUUCCAUACUUGCAUUGGAACCCUGAAGGUGUAUUAUGUGGAAUUUAGCUGCAUUCAGUAUUAUGUAGAAGAACAUUUGUAUGGAGUCAAAAUGAGGCCAUGAAGCAUUGCAUAUGCAAGAGAGGUAUUAUUAGGGAUGGGAAUCAAGAACCGGUUCCAAAUGGUUCAAUCCAUCGACAUCGUUUACUUUUCAUUUGAAUGAUUCCCUGAACGAUUCCUUUGUCCCGGGUGCUUUGGAAAACGGUCUUGUGAGAGGCAGUCUACUUAAACAAGAACAAAGACAACGAGUCUUGUAUGGGAGUUUUGAGUUUGUGUAGCGUGGACUAACUGAGUCAGAAGCGCGUAAAAAACACUCGACCCGACCACAAAAACCCUCAAAAUUUUGUGCACAACUCGCCCGUCAAACCCCGCCCCCAUAUCAAAGAGAGGCCAGAAUGUUUUGUAAAUGGGGAAAAAAAAGUUCUGUCAAUGAAAAAAAUACUUUUUUUUUUUAAUUCAGUGAUCAAUAUAUCUAUUCUUUUACAACUCUUCACUAAAGUUCACAAUUAUUAUUUUUUGUUAACAAUACCUCACUUAAGUUUAAAAUACUUCCUGGCCUCAUUUUGACUCCAUACUUUUUUAUUAAUCUGUACUGAAUAAAUAUUCUCAUAUUUAAAUUUCAGUUAUUUAGGUAAAGUCUUUUAAUCAUAGAAGCAGGUCCUCACUCUUGUAAAGCUAAAGUUAUUUCUCUACAGACGCAGGUGAUUUUAUAGGAUGACGCCAUCUUUAGUCAGUCGUUUUCGUUGUUUCAGUGAGGCGAGAGGUUGGCGAAGGUUGGCGAGUUCAUUCUCAAAUCUUACCGCCAGAUCUUGAUAAGUAUUUUCAUUCUACCUCAAACGAGCUUUCCUGUCACACUAUUUGGUCAUCUACUCUUCUAAAUCAUGACUAUAUUAUAUUUCUAUCACUUGUUAUAAUCAUAGUCAUAUUUAAUGAGCAGAAUAGUGAAGCUGCUGCUAUAAGUGGUGAAAUAAAUGCUCUAAUUAUCGAUAAAGACAGGUUUGAUUUAUUGAUUGACAUAUUAGUAAGUCAAACAUAUUUUCCUGGAUAAUUCAUUGAAUAAAAUAAUCAAUUUCGUCAAAUUAGGAGACAAGCUGCCAAAAUUCUGUCACAGUCUUAACAAACACUCCUGAGCAAAUAUCAAAAUAGAGCCGUCACUUAAAACGUCCUUUUUUCUGAGUGUUUGAUAUCUCUUAAUUAUUUCACUGACACCUCAAGAACCAGAUAUGAGGCCUGCAGACAGAACAUCAUUAGUUUUUUUUUUUUUUUAAUUCUAAAUGACCUCAAAUAUUUGCUUCGAGGCAAUAUUUAACAAUGUCAGAGCUGGUUAUCUUCAUUUUUCCUCACAUGUAACUGUAAUGAGGCCCAUCAGACUCAGAGCGAAAAGGAAAAAAAAAGAAAAUCGGAGAACACAAAGAGAAAAAAAACCUUUCUUUAAUGAGACAGAGUGGUAGCUUAGAAACAUCGACCUGUGCCCAAGACCACAAGGCUGCUAUGACAGGAGAAAUACUUUGACUAUUAAUAGCAGAGACUGAAAUGGACCCUUAUACUUCUCUUAUAUAACACAAGCUGUUCUCUCCAACACUGGUGAAAAAAAUAAACACUCCUGAAGACGGAGAACGAACACCACAUUUUGUUCUUGUAUCUCAUAUUCUCAUUUAAGACAUGAUUGACAAUAGGGCUGCACAAUUAAUUGAUUUUAAAUCAUAAUCAGAUUUUUUUUUAUUAUGAAAAAUUGAAAAAUUAAAAUUGUCAAAUCAGUUUUCCUCUCUAUUAGGCAUGUGCCGAUAUGAAAAAAUUGAUAUCAUAUAUUGGUGGCCAAAAAUAUCACGAUUCACGAUAUUAUCACGAUAUUAUCACGAUAUUAGCGCAUUGCUUUUGACGUUAUUAAAAAUGGCAAAAAAACUGUGAAAUCACUUCUCUGUGCGCUGCAUGACACGCACAAAAUAUAUGAGCAAGAGGCAGCUAACGCGACGUUGGGAGCAUUAGCUUUGUGGAGCUAAAGUUAGCAGAAACGUUGCUAACGUUGUCAAUUAUAAGCAGUAGAGUAGGCCAAACUUGCUGCGGUCGUGUUGUUUUUACCUUGAUUUUCGUCCUCACAGUUUCAGAUGAAGAGUAAACCACUCCCCGCUGCAAAGUCUGUCUGAAGGCGGUAUCAACCCGUCGCCACAGAAACAAAUUCAGGAGUAUACGCUAAAGUUUUUUGUUGUAUCUGCGUUUCAGGUGACUGUAAACGGUACUUUUUGAAAACGGGUCAGAGAGUGAAUAAAUCUGUAAACAACGACCAUUUCAUCUCUGGAAACGAUCAUGUGACACACAGAGUAACUCUUUUAUGGCGCCAAAACAACCUUUAUACACAUGCUCUGUACUCUUCUUCUUCAUUUUGUGCACUUCCUGUGCAGCAUUACAGCGCCGAUUACUGGCCUGGCAUAUGAACUACAUUGUUUUCAGUGGUUUGGUUUUGAGAGACGAUAGAAAAACUUAUUUUUAAAGUGAAGUUUGGUAAAGUUGUCACUGAAUAAAACUACUGAGGUUAACAAACUAGCACAUUAUAACUGCGUGCUGAUGAGUACUAACUGUCCAACAGUUGUUUUUCUUUUUUUUUGAAUGAAUAGUAGUUUACAACAUACUAAAUAUAAUGUGAAAAUUAGUUUAACUGAGUGUUACUAUCUUGCAUAGACUGUCCAUUUGUUGUAUCUUUGUCACAGACUUAUUUUUAACAGUUGAAAAUGGUUUUAGUGUGCUUGGCUGAAUGCAGUUAUUAGCAGGUUCAUUAUAUUGUCAUUCUCACUUAUCUUUUGCUUCCUCUGAGUACUUAUCACACAGGACAACUUCCCGGAUGUAUCGUCACCCUUAAACUGGGUAAUUUCAGAUGAAUAUUUCUGGGUUUUCGUCUGUGAAAAUCUCCCACAAACAUAAAUAUAAAACUCCCCCGCUGUUUGCAUCCUUAAAAAAACACUCCUGGGCGUCAUCCUCCAAUCACAGCGCCUGAAAAACAACAAACCAACAAAAUUAAGGAGCAGACCAAAUUACAGGCAGAGCGCUCUUUUAAGAGCUGUUAUGUUGGUGGAUUGCAGUCUAUGACGAGGACCGGCGCUCUCAUCUUACCCCGCGGAUCAUUUGUUGUCUCUUCAUAACUCUUACAGUCGCUGUUGUUCACACCCACCUCCACUCCCACUCCCUUCUUUCGCCCCUCUCACCGGCUCCUCGUUUCCAGCUGUUUGCCACUCCUCACAUGUUUGCAGGAACACAAACCCAGUUCCUGGUGACUAAUCUGAAUAUUCCCCCCUCUCUGAACACUUCUCACUCUGUUCUGUCCAGAGAUAGAAACAGUGCAGGCAGAGGGCACAGCUGCAAACGUUUAACCCUGCUCGCUGGUUUGAUUGUGGUGCUUCAAGUUUUAUUUGCUGCAUUUAGAAAUAAAGAGAAUAUGCAGAACAGGCUCCCUCUCUGCAUGCUUGAAUUUGCAUAGCUUUACAUUUCGCCUGUGGGUGAAGAUAUCCGUUCUUUAUUAACGGAAACUUUGAAUGAAGCAGGAAUUUAUUGUUGUACUUGUGCAGCCAAAUUAAAAUGAUGGUUUCUUUAAAACCUGAGUUCACGGUGACUUCUCGUUGAACUCGGGACAGAAAUAGAAGAAACUGUUAAAUUUAUUUCUGCUGAAGGAGUUUUUUUCGCGCUCUCUGCUCCCCCCCGCUCCGCCGCGUUGGCCCCGGCUGGCAUCUUUAAGGUGCUGAACUGCUGUUCCUCCUGGCCGCCGGUGCCAGGAUAACAUAUGCACGGCCCCAGAAAUCCAAUUGUUGGGAAUCAUGUCAGCUGAGUUGCAGGCCACAGCUUUUGCUCAUGAUUUAUUACCGAAGCGCUGCCACAUUUGCCAAUAGGAAAACACUUUCAGUAGAGUCAUGGGGAUUUACUCUGAUGGAUGAGAAUAAAAAUUGAAUAAUAUUUCUCCUGCGCUCGCCUCUUACUCUCCGCAGCCGUCUGUUAUUUGUGACCAGGAAAAGGAAACCAGCUGUAUUUGACUGAGUUUGUUUGUGUUGAUAUUUGGAGGUUAUUUAUUUGCAUUGUUAUAUCCCAGCGUCCUUUCUGUUUGGAUUUUCUAGGUUUGUCACUUCUUCGUUGGUGUCUGCCCUCGUUUCAGAUCUGGAGCUGCAGGCGUCUCUCUGGUCCAGAUUGUCGAGUCUCCCUCUGUUGUCUAAAGUUUUAUUACGUUCCCAAAACUCAGCUUGUUGUAUCCGUCAGACUCCGUAUCAUCCGUCCGUCUGUGCGGCUGUAUGCAUGACUGAGUGAUGUGGGGUCAUUUGUCGAGCGGUAUCUCUCCUCGCUGUAGAUUAAUAUCAACAGGAGUUACAAGGCAGAAUUCAUCCAGACAAGAGGUGAGGAGUCGGAUUCAGCACCGCUGUCGCUCCUGUUGUCUGUGUUUGUCCGUUUUAUAAUUCUGCAGAAUCAUUCGGAUCAGAACCGUGUCAGCUUCUUGUACGUAGGGCGCCAGAUUUCCAACAGUCUCCUGAAAUGAUAGCUAUCACAGUAUGAUGUAGGGCCGUUCCAACAAGGGGACCUUACUAUUGGAUUCUAUUCGAUUGUGGGAGCUUCGAUUCUUUGAUUAUAAGGUGUCGAUUUUAUUUUAUUGUUGGUGCCACGAUUCUUUGAUUAUUGCCAUUUUUAAAGCUUUUUUCCAGACAAGAUUGAUUUUGACUUUUUAUUUUUUAUUUUUCAAAGACACAAAAUAUUUUAUUUUAUGACUGUAUGACUGUUAUGUAAACAUUUGCACUUUGACCUACGUUGAAGUUUGGAGACAGUCUCCAGGAUGGUCCUCUGUGUGGCAGAACGACCGGAGGAGCCUUCUCUGUUUCAGGAUGAAAGCGUACGAGGCGCUUCCUCAUGUUUGUGGUGUCGCUGAGGUUCUUUAUUUUUGAAAAUCUCGUAGGUCUCAUCAGUCAUCUUGUUUGCUCUCUCAUAAAAUCCAAAGUACUUCCACACGGUUGCAGUCAAACCUGGUGGUGACAGAAUCGGACGCUCUUCGGAGGCUGCUGAAGCUGCUGCCAUUUUAUGAAGAAGCUAACGCGCUCUGUUUGUUGUGGUCCCACUCACUAAACAGUCCUGGCAGCGCACACGUUAAGGUUCCAGUUAUGUGUUUUUUAGUUCCGGUAAAGCAUCGACGUUACUUAAUCGAUGCCGAAUCAUCAAGUGAAGCAUCGCGAUGCAUCGACACAUCAAUGAAUCGCACCGACCUCUGGUAUGAUGUUUCAUGAUACACAACUGUGAGGAACUGUAGUAAGUAAGAGCAAAGGCAGGAUCCCUCUACUUAAAACAGGCGCAGUCAGAAGAGUUUUGUCGAAGUAUUGACACAGUACACAUUCCUGUGAGUAUUCGGUUAUUUCCGACCUUUUUAAUCGUCCCCUUAUUCUGUGUUCAUUCUGGAACUGACCUUAUAUGUUUGGAAAAUGUUCAGUUCAUUUCACUCCUACUUCCAUCCGUUGGCUGUGUUUUGCUCUGUGCUCAUCUAUUACAGCUGUACUGAUUCUAUAACAUGUGCAUCAACGCUGUCACGUUGACAAGGUUGAAAAACAGAAAAAGGACCCGAUUUCAGAAUAAAAGGCGAUUUAAUGAAAAAAUAACAAAAUAAAAAGCAACAAAAACUUACUUAUAAUGAGGAACAGAAACACCAGUAAAAAAAAAACACAAAGAAAAGACACUCAGAAUACCAAAACCAGGUGAACACCAAACACCAGAACAAAGGUCAUGACACAGUGAAUAUUGAUGAUAUCUUGUCGUAUCUGUUUUUGAGCGCAGCCCUACAGUAUGAGACUGACUUCGACUUUAUCUGUGUUCCCUGGGUUUUAUAUUUUGGGGUUCUCUGACUGUUUGUUGGACCAAACAGGAGAAAGCGAGGCCUGUUACUGUGUUUUCUUUUUGCAUUUUAAAGAUGAAGCGAAUAAUCAAUAACAGCUGUGGAAGCAGUUUUAAUUCAGAAACAGCAUUUUGUUGUAAUAGUGAAAAUACGGGUUACAUCCUGAUAGAAAUCAAUGAUUUAUUCUGGCAGCCUGCUUCUUUCCUCCUCUCCAUGUGUUUCCUUUUGUGGAGACGAAAUUAAGUGUUUUGUAAACAGCAGCUUGUUCGGAAUAAACAAACACAGCAUGGCGGCGCUGAUAAACAUCACGAUCGGGAAAAACAAAAAUCACAUCUACAUCUCCGACCGUGAAAAAACGGCUCGAUCCGACCUCAGAGCUGGAUGUCAGGUCAGACUCAGAGUUAAAGAGUAAACCCUCUCCUGCAGGUGGAAGGGUUUUACUGGACCAGGAUUUGGAUCCACCAAACGGACUGUGUGACAGAGAUUUGGACUCUAACCUGAGGAGGACUGAACUGAACUCUAAAGUUUGUAAACUCUUUCGCUAACUUUGUCCAUCUUUGUCAGUUCGUGGACAAAAGAAGAGCGGUUUUGUCUCCCCUCAUCAGGACGGCUCAUAAUGACGAGCAGCUUCGUCGCCCGUGAACGCCGCACGUCUCUCAGAAAUUCAUUUUGUUAUCCCCAAAUUGAGUCUUUGUUGUGAGGGUAAAGACGUCCUUAUCUUUAUUAGGACAGUUCUUCGUUGGGAGAGUGAUUUGAUUUGAUUUGACAGAGAAGUACAAACUCUGUAGAAAGAAGGAAAUGAAUGUCUGAGGCUUCAAUCACCUGCUCCCGUUUUUUUUUCUUUACAGGACAAAUAAAAAAACCCAAACUGUUUCCUCGGGUUCAUGAUUAGCUAACAAAGUUUCAGUUGUUGAUGUUGGUGCAAAUUGCUCGGUCUAUCACAAGUUAUUAAAUCCUCAGACUGUCUUGAAAGUCGUCGCUGUCUAACUCUCUCCCCUGUGCUGAGGAGCGGCGGCAGGCCUCCUAUGGAAAUGUGACAUUUGCUUUGUUUCCAGCCAUCUAAUGAGCCAGUUAACAUUCAGUUGUUCACCCUAAUUGACUCUUACGCUAACCGGAUGGAGGCACAGGACUCCAAAUAAUUACUCUCUUUAUGAGCCCACGUCUAAUGAAUUUAAGUGGCAUAUUUACCAGCCGGCUGCCUCUGGCUGGAGGUGACGCAAUAAAAAGAUGUCGACUCUCAACUUAGUCAAACAGACGUAUGUCCUGAGGGCUUCAAGCUGAUUUAUCCUGGACUUGUUUAAGAAGACUCUGCUUUGUUUUUACCAUUAAUAAUAGUGUAAAAAACGCUUUUUUUGGACUUUAAUCACUCUGGUUCAGUUUUAACAAUAGAAAUAAACAGUAGAGAAGUGGUUAGGUGCCAGAUGUGUUCGGGCUGCUAGAUCGGCUCGGGGUCCAGUCAGGGGUGUCCCGAUAGAACUUUUUUUUAACUUCUGAUAUGAUACUGAUAUUGUAGCCUUUAGUCUUGGCCGAUUCCGAUAGUGGCGCAAACUUACGCAUCACAAGUUUUGCACUCAGCUGCAACAUCUUUUUCAGACUUUAACGAAAAAUACUGCCACACAGCCGACACCACUCCUACUCCUCUGUACUUUGUUACAAUUUAGUACCUAAGUACAUUUUAAAUGCAGGCUGAUAUAAUCUGAUAUUUGUUUAUUGGCUGAUAUCCGGCCAGUAUCUAAUAUCGAUAUUGUAUCUGGGCAGCCCUAGGCUCAGUGCCCGUUGAAGACGUCACACUAUGGCAAGUCCACUCGGACAAACUUUAUUGCGCUCCAUUUAAUAAGUAAAAUGUGCUCGGUUAAAAGCCCUUCGUGGUUUUCUUUAUUUAAAUGAAAAUACUAUAUAAUACAGAUAUUAUAACUAUAAAGUAAAGUGUAUAUAUAAAAUGUAUAAUACAGAUAAUACUUACUGUACUGCACUGUAAUUUUAGAUGGCUUUAAUUGUAGAUGUUAACUUUUUUAAAGAAAAAUGGAAAAAAAUCUACGCAGGAUCUCCACUAUAUAUCAAUAUAGUUUUGCUUUUAUUCCACAUUUCCUUCGGUGACCUAAAAGAGGCGGUAGUCCGGCUGUCGUAAGUGAUGGCUGGAUGGAUGGCUGUUGGCUGAUAUCGGAUAUCGGCCAAAAAGAAAUAUCGGAUUAUAUCAGCCUGCAUCUAAAAUCUCUGAUAUCGGCACUCUGAUACAAGCAGUCCAUCCAGACUCCACUCCGGCACCUCUAGCUAGCAGUAUCCGGAUCCAGCAUGUCGAGCCCACGUGAUCACAACAACAGUGUGUACUAAGGUACCAAAAAAGCAGCAAGGAGUAGGAGGCUACAAUAUCGAUAUCAUAUCGAAAGUAAAAAAGUUGCAUCGGGACACCCCUAAUAAGUAGCGAUAGAUUGCUUCAUAAGAUUCAUCCAUAUUUUUUCCGAAGAACUACAAUCGCAUGAAACCUAAUCUGGCGAAAACCGCUUCUGUAAUGUCUGGACCAAUCACAAUCUUCUACAUCAUUCAAACCAACUUCCAGCCAAUCAUAUAGCUUGACAUCAUCAAUAGGCGCCGGGCCCUGAGGCGAUCUGGCAGCCUGAACACAUCUGGUACCUACACUGGUAAUAUAAUCUCAUCUGGCGAGGACAGCUGAUAGAGUUUUUAUGAGCUUCCAUGGUGAAAAUCAAGCUCUCCACUCAGAGUCGGUAAAACCUUCAAAGGUCAAUCAUAGAAACGCUUUCAAGGCUGAAAUUUUCAGGGGUGAAAAAUAUAAAGAUUAGAAAUCUCAACGACUCCUGAUUGUUUUGAAAGAACGGAGGACAAACGGAUCCUUUUCGGCCUUGAUUGAAACGAGUAUUUUCAGUGAAGACUGUUGUGAGGGCUCUUCAUCGUGGUCAACUUCAUGGUCAUCGUCCGUCUCACAGCUGCACACCAAAGUCCGCCUUAAGUAUGCCUGAGAAAAUCUGAGACAGGGGGACGAGAGCACACAAUAAAAAUAUAUAAACUGGGUGGAGAAUGAAGGUGUUUUUCUCUCAUGAAUAAAUUCAUCAAACUUAAUACCAAACGGAAAUUAAAUUUCAUACAUUUUUCAAAGUCGACACAGAUUUCCUGAUAAUUCAAGUACUUGGUAAAUACAACAGCAAAGUCUGGCUGCUGCUAAUUGUCACACAAUUUGAUUGAAUUUCUUUUCUGAGACAAGAUGUUGAUGUUCACACUGAGAAUAGAUGUAAUCAUAUAGAUCCCUCUCACCGUUUCUCUGCAGGCUGAAAGUUAAGGUGUUUCUCUCCUCUUCUGUUUCUAAUCACAGUUCUGUCUGAGUAUUAACAUGGCUGUUAAAUAAAUAAUCUAUUUACAACAAACAUAAUUGAGCCUUAUCUAAUGGCACAGUUUGCAGUCAGGCUGAGAGGGGGUGGGGUUUGAUGCCUUUGAAUGGCAGUCGCCAUAUUGAGCACGCUGACUUUUGUUUGAUUUGGGAUAUGGAGUCAAGAGGGGCCGACAGCCUCUUCCUUACAGCUGCAGUGUGGUAGUCCAGUCAACUGCGUCCCUCUUUAUGCAAAAUUACCCCCCAUCCGUGGACCCUACAUGAAAGUCGAGGGUCUAAUACCAAUCCUGUAGAGCUGCACGAUUUUGGCCAAAAAUAAAAUCCAGAUUUUUUUCUCUUACAGCUUGAUUUUAGAUUUUUUAUUCAGUGACGACUUCACCAAACUUCACUUUAAUAAGUUUUUCUAUCAUCUCUUAAAAUGAAAACACUGAAAAUGAUGUAGUGCAUAUGCCAAGCCAGUAAGUGGCGCUGUAGUCAUCAUAAUCAAAUAAUCUGAUAACGAUUUAAACUCAGUUAAUUGUGCAGCCCUACAAUCCUGUGGAAAACAUCUGCUCCUGAAUGCUUCAAAUAUCCAUCAACUCGUCCCUGAAUUUAUGUGGCUGGAAAAUUGGUGCUGAGCAGGAGGUGUGUAGUUGGUUUUUAAGGCUUGUGUGGUUCUUGCCAAAGCUUCACGGAGUAAACCAAAAAGGUGAAGCUGUCAGCUUAAAGGCUAAACUAUUCGCUGACACACCUUGAAGCUCCGUGCAGCUGACAGGAGUCACACAUUCAGACGACAAGCUGAAGUGUUUCUUCCUGUGUCGCACUGUUUUUACAUUGUCUCCCCAUAAAUUGUCAUGAAUAGAUUAAGUCGAGCUGCUUUAACUCAAGUUGAACAAGAUUCUGUCAGAGUUUUCAAGUCUACAAUGGUUAGUCUUAAAACAGAACAAACAGAUCAUCUAUGGUUGGAUAGUUUACAUAUUUAAAAAGUUACCAUUGGAAGUUGUUAAACUAGGGGUGAGCGAUCUGACGUUCUUAGAUUGGGAAGAAUUAAAAAGAAAUUCUGAUCUGUCAAAGCACAGGACAGGGAGAUUUUUGAGAUGUUUAGUUGUGACCAAAAAUAAAAAAGAAAGGAAAAAGUUAUAAAAAUUUCUGCUUUAUAUCUGUUGUGUUGUGUACAUUACUUUUGAGUGAUUUUUAUUAUUAUUAUUCAUAAGAGUACCUUUCAUUUUUUUAAACAUUGACAUUUGUUUGUGAAGUCUUGUUUUAGGGUCAAAUUUAUUUGAUAAUGAGAUGAUCCAGUUAAGAUCAAUGUUCGGCUGUUGGAUGUUAAAAUCUGGAUAUUUUGUUUAUUAUUUCUAUUUUUCACUCCACCCCCCAAAAAAUAUCUGGAAAAAAUCAUGAUUGUGAUUUUGCAAAACAAAAAAUAAUUGAUAUGAAGUUUUUUGCAUAUCGCCCACCCUUACAUCAGAUCUUUAUAUCCGGCUGUAGUCCAGAGAGUACAUGUCAUUAAAUCAAUUGAGUGAACUGUCUGUUAACGUCGUUUCAGAGAUCAUUACUGUCGUUUACUCAGUAAUUGUCAAUAAUUGUCAGAACUGUUUUUCCUAACGUGUGAUUUAUGAAGCCUUAAACGCCUCUCUGGUGUUUUUUUGUUUCGGACUGAUGAUCCCCGACGAUGAUCUCAGCAGGUUCGUUUUUAGCUGCUUCAGCUAAAUUGAGCUCAAUGAAACAAUAAAAGAGAUGUGUUGGAGCCACACGGGGGACAGUAUUACCGGUUAUGACUCCGCUGAACUGAGCUGAUGUGAUUACGUGUGGGUAAAAUUGCCAUGUAAUGAACUGAAAACGCAGCUGUUAUUUAUCAUGGCUUUGUUGUCUCUUUGGAAACCUCUUUGAAUAUCUCACCAGAACGAGACGUCUGUAUUAGGACGGAUUAUGGGGACUGUCAGGGUACACAGGGACACAAACCCAUCACCCUUCAGACACACAGUGUUAACAUUUUGUCACUUGGGACAGCAAACGUCUGCUCUGCUGAAGUGUCCUUGAGCAAGACAGAGAUCACGUACCCGCUCAGGGAUGCUGAUUCGCUCCUACGGCUGUUAAAAAGAUGGAUUCAGCUCUGAGGGUCCAUAAAAUACCAGGAGAAGAUACGAGUGUAAAAAGAGAGGAGAAGUUUCAGAGCAUCAGCGAGUUUGUGUCUGUGCGGCAGAAGGGCACGUCGUUCAUAAAUGCAGGAAUAAAAAGUUUGCUCCAGUAACGUCCUUGUGUUUGUGCUUAAGAGGAAAAACUUCAUCUCUGCCCUCGCUGCGCAGCGACGGCAAAAAAGUACAAUCUAUGCAUCAUCUCUCUGAACGUGUCACCUUAAUUAAAAGCUUUGCUAAUUAUAUCAUUUCUCAGGAGUUAAAAAGUCACUCCUUCACUAAAAGCCCGUAUAAUGCCCCUGACGAAAUCAAAAUUCCCUCCUGCGAACAUAAUUAAAACACGACUCUCAGUAAAAACCUACCUGCCUCUGCUCAGGUGAGCCCACGCAGGUCAGAUUUCAGAAAUAUCAGGCGGCUGCAUCUCAGGAUAACCCUGAACACUUGGCAUCGCUGAGCUGGUGGAAUUUUGGAUGAGCUCCCUUAAGCAUAUCAGAGCUUGGCAUUAAGGCUCAGCGGACUAUUGGACGCCGUCGUGCAGCUUAUUUCCCGCCUGCAACAGCGCGGUGAGUGGGACAACAGACAGCAGAUUAUUAUCUGCUCCGAGGGCACAGCAUACUAAUGCCUCCGUCAGUCCUAUCAGGACAAGUUUCCUCCUCUUGGAUGCUUGGUGAUGACUCUCAGAGGUGAACACAGCUCGGCUCCGAUAAAUAAGAGAAGAUGUGAUGAUCGAGGAAUCGAGCAUCUUAGUGAUUCUGGAGAUUGAUAGUUAUCUCAUAAUUUAGCCAUAACAAUGCAGAUUUCUUUGUGAUAAUAAUGAAGGGUAAUCUAAUCUUGUGUCAUUACAGGACUAGAAGGUAGAUAGUCAAGACAGAGUGGGUCAAUGCUAAUUAUAUUAGGGAAAUGAUGCACAGUAAUGAUAAUUCUUGGAUGAAACUGAAAACCAAAAAUGAGGAAACCAAGGCCGAAAAACCGAAACACCGAAAACUGAAAGAAAUGAUUAUGCCAAUUAUCAGUACCAUUGCAUUUAUGUCUGAUUGUUUACUAACCUCCCUAAAAUCAAGGCAUUGCAAAAGCAUAAAUUAAUAUAAAAUUUAUAUUAAUAUUAGAUAUUAAUUCAUGAAAUUGCAACAUGAGUUUUGAGUGUUUGAUUCAGUGUGUUGCUGCAUGUUUCACCUUUAGAUGGCGUUGUGAGUCGGGGCAAAAACAACUCAAACGUUCAAAGAGAAGAAGAGUUGAGCGGUAGAAACACAACUAGAAGAAGUAGCGUUGUUUAAUUUUAAGAAGCCAAGAGCAGGAGCUUUCGUUGUAAUGUUUAUUUUUUAAUAUAAUUUAAUUAAUAACUACUCCACAAGCUGCUCACUACCUACACACAUCCAUUUAUUAUUUUGAAACCAAAUAUACCGACAUGAAGAAAAUGACAUCGGUUAUUGUCGUAAAUUUUUGGUUUAUCGCCCAGCCCUACUCAGAGUAGUGUCUGAUGAUAUUGUAGUACAGGCAUGUUAUACAUUUCCUGAAAGCUUAGAGUCUUUUGAGUAAUCUAGUGUCUGUGUAAUUUGUUCCUGAUGUCCCUGUAAAAGAGAAAUAAGAGAUUUAGGCAAAAAUUGUGGAAUAAUGUAUGUUGCCGCACUGCUUGAGGAGCCAAAGUUACGUCUGUUUUUGUUUGUAUGAUUUACAGUUGGGCUCAAAUGAAAGCCAAGAGGGUCUCCUUUAAAAUGAUACCAAACACAGUUUUAUAAAAACCCUGAACAUGAGCCAAAACUGGAGCACCUUGAGCCGUGUGAAUAUCUGGACCAGCUUUAAAAGGCUUAAAUACUAACAGGAUAAAUAAUCAAACUUUCUCCAGUCUAAUUCACCACAUGAAGACAUUUACAUCUGGCUUUUUGGGGGAAUUUAACAGUGCAGACGAGUCAGCGCCGUCUGGAGCAGCUGAGGUUGUAAAAGUGGUUUUCGGGGGCAUGAGGAGGGCUCGGAGCAUCCUGAAAUACCCGUGGGCAGGAUGUUUUUCCUGCCAAACAGACGGAUGGGUUCAGAGAGCAGGAUUUCAAAAGAACAGAGGUCAGCACCCUGUGAAGAAAUCAUGGAGUCUUUGCUAUUUAUCUCCAACUCUUAUCAACUCCCCGCAGAUAUAUGAAGGCCGUUUGGUGAUACAGAGCGCAGAAAAUCUCACUUAUUGUCCCUGUAAGAGAGAGUGAUGGUCAAAGUAAAGAUCCACUUCCAUUCAGCUGCAGAGGCUAACCUUCUGAGGCAGCCCCGCUUCCUCCCUCACCUAAUUACUCGGAGGAGCUGUCCGGGUCUCUGUGUCAGCGCUGACCUCACACUGAUCCAAUUUGACCCCGGCCCACACGAGGCGCCCUCAGGUGUCACUGCCAGUCAAGAGGAGGUCAAUGAAUCCCACCUUAAUAGUCAUCAGUUCAGACUGUCUCCAAGGGACCAUGAAUAAUCCCCAUCAUUCAUCUCGCAGACAGACUGUAGAAGCACUCAGAGGAUCCCAGCGGCUUAUUGUGCUGCGAAGCUGCUGCGUGUCUGUGUGUGUGUGUGUGUGUGUGUGUCUGUGUGUGUGUGUGUGUGUGUGUGUGUGUGUGUGAGUGUGUGGACCAGCCUGACUGCAGGUGCAGCCUUGUAGCUUUAAACCAAGACGUCCUGCAUCAGGUUCAUUUUCCCCGAGGUGAAGUGUGCGGUCUGGUGCGGCUGAUCGUUAUUGUCUUUAUUGAUUAAUCAAUCGUAAGUGGCCGUGAUUUUACCUCACUGAGUGCUCCCACGGUUAAAAGUGGGCCAAGUGUGUGAAAAACAGAGCGUCUUAUAAAACCAUAUUGACCAUUUAAAAUCAAAACGGUAGAAACGGACACCAAGCGCCGAGACGUUUUCAGCUCAGAGUGCUCUCCAAACACGGUUCCAGCGCGCCUUUUUUCUCCAAGUUCUCCAGAAACCUGGAGGUCAAAAGCAACAGCAGUAAGAGGCCGACUAAAAAGAUUGAUAGCAGUAACUACAGCUCAUGAAAUGCUGAUUCUUCUCAGAGGACCCAACCUGGAGAGGACAAAAUAACUAACAUCAGCCGCUACUUUUAGCUUUCUGUGGAGAAAUAAAAACGACCUGCCUGCUGACUUCUUUUCAUUUUUAAGUGAUUGACAAAAAAGGCUAAUGUAUGUAAUAGAGGUGAGCAUGAAAAAGGGAGAAAGCAUCAGUGUGAAAGGGUGAAAAAAGCUGUUGAACAAGGCGCAGUUUGGGAAACUUUAGAACGAGGAAAAACUGUAGGAGUGAGAGUGGACUUUCAGAGAGUAACUUCAGCAAACUCAAAGAACAGCUGGUUUAAUAAGAAGCAUUUUAUUAUUUAAUGGAUUAAAAUAAUGUGAAUUAUAUUUCACUUCUUUUAGUUUGACUGCUCUCUUUAUUUCUACUUUAUUUUUCUUCUUACAAUUUCAAAUUUCUUUUAAAUUUCUCAUCUUCUUUGUUUGUUUUCCGUCUUUCUUUCUUGUAUUUUUCUUUCAUAUCCUUUAAUUCUAUUUAGCUUUUUCUUUUUUUUUCUAAUUUUCCUUCGUCCUUCUUUUUUCUUUCUCUUUUUUUUCUUUUAUUGUAUCCUGUCUUAAAAUGUUUUUCCUUAUUUUCUUGUUUUUGGGUUUUAACUUCUUUCUUUUUUAAUUUACUCUUCUUACAUUUUUUUUAAAUUUAAGUCCUCAUCGUCCUUCUUUGUUUUUUUUCUUUCUGUCUUUUAUUUUUCUUUCUUAUCCUCUUUUUAAUUAUAUUUACAUUGUUUCCUUUUUUCCUUUUAUUUUUCUCCUUUCCUUUUUUCUGUUUCCCUUCUUUCUUUCUCUCUUUUUUUCAAAUUUUUUUGCGUCCUUUCCUUAUAUUUUUUUCUUUUUCCUUAUUUUUCUUGUUUGUUUGGUCUUAAUUUAUUCUCUCUUUAAUUUAUUAUUCAUCCUACAUUUUUAGUUUUUUUUAAAUUCUCAUUUUCUUUCUUUGUUUUUUCCUUUUUUUUCUUAUCUUUUACUUUCAUAUCCUCUUUGUAAUUCCAUUAAUGUUUUCUUUAUCCUUAUUUUUCUUUUUUCUUUUUCUCCUUUUCUUUCUUUCUUUCUUUCUUUCUUUCUUUCUUUCUUUCUUUCUUUCUUUCUUUCUUUCUUUCUUUCUUUCUUUCUUUCUUUCUUUCUUUCUUUCUGUCAGUCUUUCUUUCUUCCUUACAUCUUCCAGGCUUUCUUUUAGGUUAAUCUUUUAUCAUAUUUAGCUACUUUCUUUUUUUUAAACUUCUCCUUUCUUUUAUUUUUUCUUUAUUUCUAAUUUCAUCUUAGGUUUUUUGUGUGUGUUUUUUCUCAGACUUGUUUUUUCCAUUAGUUACCCCUCAGGCCCUCCUUUCCAAAAUAACUGCAGAAAAACUGAAAGAUCAAAAAAUGUACCUCGGAGAGCCUCAGGGUUAAAAUAAAUUUAUUUUUCUCUCUGUCUGUUUUGUAUCUUCGAUGUUAAAUACACCUUUACCUCUUCCUGCUGCUCUCAAGUCUGCUCCUCAUCUCCGUACGCUGAAGACCUAAAACAGAGAUGAGUGUUUUUGCCACAGUGUCAACAGGCUGACACUGAGAAAUGUGCCGGACUCUUUUUCUCUCUUCUUUGGAGGUUUUGACCAAUCAGAGUUGAGUUUCUAACACAGCUGGAGGAUAAUAAAUAUUCAUCUAAAACAGAGAAAAGAACUGAAUGUUUGUUUUGAGAGGCUGGGAACUGAACGCUUUGGGGUUUUACUCUUUUUAUCGUCGGUAUGAGCUGAAUUUCCUCUCAUCUUAUUUUCCAGGUGAUAUUUUUUUGUAAAAGCUUCUUAUAUUUGACAGCUGUGCUUGUUUUUUAGUUUGUGAUUGUGAAGUUUCAUGGCUCUAAUAUGAUGAAAUCAUGUUUAUUUCGCAGGGCGCUGUGUGUUUGUGCCUUUUUCAUCAUCAGUCAUAAAACUGAACUUUGGUCUUUCAGAUCUGUGCUCUGGGACUAAUGAUGCUUGUUUGGCCCUUGACUUCCAAACUCUUAGAAAACCUCUGCAGUGAACUAACACUCUCAAAAGUUAAAAACUCAAGAUUAAAUAAAAUAAAACAGCGAGAUAACCCGUGGUAUGAGGCGCAGUGUUUUUGGGUCAUUUUCCUUUGAACCAAAAACACUUUGAAGAACAAGAAAACAUUCAAAGAUCUUGUGAAUAGAAGUUCAAUACCGAAGACUUGGCGGUUUAAGGAUGCGAGUUCGCAUCGCCCUGAGAAGUGUGUCUGUGAUUGCCUGCUGAAUGUUAUGAGUCUAAAGGAGGAUAUGUUUGAACCCUGGUCUGACCUGCUCUUCACGCCCGUGUGUCUCUCCUGCUGCAGUCCAAGUACUUUCCCGUGAAAGGUGUGCUUCUCUUAAGACUACUUUACAUGGGUUUAAUGAAUAAUCAAGGACUGCAGGGUGAUUUCUUCUGUGGCCCUCAGAGCCACCUCACAGAUCCGGCUUCGUCCUGAAUGUAUAAUCAGGAACAUGUGAGGGUUUGAUAGUAUCAGAGAUCUGAGCGACCUUUUCUGACUCCGUUCACUUCCUCCAUCUCUGAGCUGUUGUCUGCUUUAAUCUGAGAAACGUUAAAUUUAGAUGUAUGUUCCUCUCUGUUUGAUUCUCACAUCCUGACUUGAGUGUCUUUGUUAUUGCGCCGCAGCGUACCGGUGAUUAAUGACUCCACUUCAGACGGUUAUUGUCCUGUAUGGGCUGAAUCAUCACGGUUGAAUGCAGACAUGCUGAUCUAACAUUCGCUCAGACAUGCGAGCUUUCUUUAAGUGUCUCAAACUGUGCGUUUGUAAAUACAUUCAGAUCGAGGGUUAGGCCAGAGUUCCUUUAGAUUUGACGUAUGAGCAGUACUCGACAUUUUCAAUACGAUGACUUUUAAUGUUAAAGUUUCUCUUUGAAUAAACAAGCUCCUAAGUGUCUCCAACCACUUUUCAGUUUAUUCAGAGACCUGAAAAAAGAAACCUUUUACAUUUGAACGAGGAGAAACGACGGCACAAAAUGUGAAAUGUAACAAAGUGUGAUGGGAAAACACUCAGCGAAUAAAUCAUGACGUAGGUGAAGAGUUGACCUAAAUGUUCAGUGAAGCUUCUCCAGAAGAGACGAGGAACAGAGGCAGAGGAAAACAUCAGGUUUUUUAUUUUCUGGCUCAGGCUUCAUGAGGAAAAUCAGUUUAUUUUGUUCUACUCUGGAUUGAUAACCGAGAGCUGUGUCACAUCCUACCAACCUGGACUCCCACCUUCAGAUUAGGGCUGCACGAUUUCGGCCAAAAAUAAAAUCCUGAUUUUUUUUUUUCUCUGAAAACUUGAUUUUUGAUUUCUAUUUCUUAUUCAGUGACAACUUCACCAAACUUCACUUUAAUAAUAAGAACUUUUUCGUUCAUCUCUCACAAUGAAACCGCUGAGAAUGAUGUAGUGCAUACGUCAAGCCAGUGAGUGGCGCUGUAACACUGAAGAAGAGUACAGAGCACGUACCAAUUCCACACGACUGACUAACUCUUGUCCUAUUUAACCACGAAAUUAUCGCCUUCUUUUGCAAACACCAUGUUUGUUCACACUGGUGUGUGAGGGAACUGUGGAGCCUACGGUGGCCUGGAGGCGUGAGACAUGAUAGAGAGGAAAAAAUGAUUUGACGAUUAAAAUUUUUUAACAUCCUUGUUACGACUGCGGCUCGGGGCAGAUACCUGUGUUACCUUUUACCAUGUUUAGUUGUGUCCGUGUCCGUGUCUGCGAGUGGAUGUGACUCUACAGGAACAGCUGCGGAUUGGAUGAUCAGCCUGGUCGGCAGGACCAAUCGGAGGGGAGUUAACUGUUGAAGAGGCUGCCGAUUGGAGUGCUCAGGGGCAGACACUCGUGUUCGUUCUGUAGACACUUUGUUAGGGAGAUCUGUGUGUGUUAACUGCUGUGGAGGUGACAUUGUGUAUUUCUUUUAUUGUCUUGUAAAGAGUUAGGAUGCUGCUCACACUUCGAUUGUUUAAACUGCUAGUUGAGUUAAUUUGUGGUUUUGGUUUCUUCACUCUAGUUUAAAGUCGCCUUUUGUUGCAUUUGUUUGUUUCGUUGAGCAGUACCCAAUAUACCUCUGUUUUUCGCCUCAAACUAUUUUGCAAUUAAACAACCUUUUUUACAACAACUAAAUCUGGGUUUUAUGUUACGUUCUUUCCCUUCUGGGUUGUAACAAUCGUCAUAAUCAAAUAAUCCGAUUACCAUUUAAAAUCGAUCUAUCAUGCAGCCCUACUUAUAAUGAUCCAGGCUCUGUCAAAGCAAACCCCACAUGAUAAUAUAGUUAUGACCUCCUCUACCAUCAGGCCUUCGGUGUCCCUCAGGUCUCAGCCAGGAGGCGAUGAGAUCCAGAACAUCAACAGGCUGGUCAAGUGGUCACUUCCUCAUCCUGGUGUUUCCUCAAGUGAGGCCCACCACAUCUGAAGGAGGCUCAACAGUUCGCUCCGGCAUCCCCAAACCACCUCUCCAUGCCGAGCUCUCACGGGUCAUCGUACCAUGAAGAGGAAGUAGAGAAGGAGGGGAGUGUUUGAAAGAAGAUGAGAAACUUUCCACCAAUCAGCUGUAGAAGUUUAGACACCAGUAUUUGUGGUGGUGAAAGACCAAGAGACAGACGAGACGACGUGAAGAUGGUGCGACGGUGUUUAUGGCGGGUUCUGGUCGAGACUGAAGGGUUGAGUCUCACAGAGAGAGGACACACACGGGGGAAAACCGCUCUGCUCUGUUACGUAUGAUCACAAAUAUCCUCUUUAGGAAGUUCCUGUAGGUUUGGGUCCUCAGAGGCUGUCCUGUGACCCGGUUUCGAUUACACUCGUCUCCUCAGAUCGACGCGCUCCUCCUCAAAACACUGGGCUCAUGUGUCUGAGUCUGACCUCUAUCUCUACAACCCAUCGCACAUGUGCAGUAGUGUCCAACAGUCCGUGUCAAGUGAUGUGAGGCUUUGUGGCGGCUGCGGUUGUGUGUUGAGCUUAGUGUGACCCUCAGACCUCUAUGAAUGUGAUUAGUGCGGACACGGCAGAGCGGCGGCGGCGCUGGGAUGAUGUUGUGUUGGAGUGCCGCUCUCGAUGACGCUCUUGUUUCCAAACGCAACGCUGUACUCGAGUGAAAGAGGUCAUCCGAGCUCCACGAGAGGACCAGACGAGUGAUGUUUGAUCUGUUUCCUUUAAAAAACCGACAGGUAAUGUUCAGGUUUUUUAUUUUUUACCUGGAGUUUGUUAAAGAAACGAGUGAAACUGUAAAAGUUUCAACCAAAGAGUUGUGUAAGUUUUAUGUAAGUGGUACACCCAUCGACAUUCAAUUUAAGUCUUUUUAAAGCUUCAUAAAGGAAAGUGUAAAAACA